Molecule: long non-coding RNA, 355 nt
Filed under: Spirodela polyrhiza (greater duckweed)
Lineage: Eukaryota; Viridiplantae; Streptophyta; Magnoliopsida; Alismatales; Araceae
Description: long non-coding RNA (SPOL_LNC000546)
Source: RNAcentral
CUUGGACGUUGAAUAUGUGAAGAUAUCAGCGCUAUCGAUCAAUCAUCUAGGACUUUAUCUGUUUGUCUGAAUUUUCUAUAUAUAAACAUAAUUACAGUAAUCAGCUCAGUCAUCAGCUAACCUUGGGACCAUGAAUAUUCUUCUUCACCCAUAUAUUUAUUAUUUAGACAGAUAAUUAUAAUAAAAUGUAGUGGCAAUUGGUACCUGCCUACAAGUAGGUUUUAAGAGACCAAGUAAAUUAAAGUGAAAAAAGAAGAUCAUCUACUUGCAUCAGUGGGCCUCAAGCUGUUUCUUUGAAUCAAAAGUUACAGCCUAUUCUAGUCAUCUACCCAUACACCAGUUUCUAGAAGAAAUC